RNAcentral lists this small nuclear RNA (84 nucleotides) under Octodon degus (degu). Its description in RNAcentral is "U2 spliceosomal RNA (ENSODEG00000023177.1)". It matches the Rfam family "U2 spliceosomal RNA". Rfam says of the family: U2 is a small nuclear RNA (snRNA) component of the spliceosome (involved in pre-mRNA splicing). Complementary binding between U2 snRNA (in an area lying towards the 5' end but 3' to hairpin I) and the branchpoint sequence (BPS) of the intron results the bulging out of an unpaired adenosine, on the BPS, which initiates a nucleophilic attack at the intronic 5' splice site, thus starting the first of two transesterification reactions that mediate splicing. The record is from Rfam by way of RNAcentral. Lineage: Eukaryota; Metazoa; Chordata; Mammalia; Rodentia; Octodontidae.
GCUGCUUCUCCGCCUUUUGGCUAAGAUCAAGGGUAGUAUCAGUUCUUAUCAGUUUAAAAGCAAAACCUUUUGAGGGAACCCCAC